This 403-nucleotide ribosomal RNA is filed under the name bacterium. Its description in RNAcentral is "partial 16S ribosomal RNA". It matches the Rfam family "Bacterial small subunit ribosomal RNA", at positions 355 to 776 of the family's 1533-position model. The record is from RNAcentral.
UUGGGAAUAUUGCACAAUGGAGGGAACUCUGAUGCAGCGACGCCGCGUGAACGAAGAAGGCUUUCGAGUCGUAAAGUUCUUUUAUAUGGGAAGAUAAUGACGGUACCAUAAGAAGAAGCCCCGGCUAACUACGUGCCAGCAGCCGCGGUAAUACGUAGGGGGCUAGCGUUGUCCGGAAUCACUGGGCGUAAAGGGUUCGCAGGCGGAAAUGCAAGUCAGGUGUAAAAGGCAGUAGCUUAACUACUGUAAGCAUUUGAAACUGCAUAUCUUGAGAAGAGUAGAGGUAAGUGGAAUUUUUAGUGUAGCGGUGAAAUGCGUAGAUAUUAAAAAGAAUACCGGUGGCGAAGGCGACUUACUGGGCUCAUUCUGACGCUGAGGAACGAAAGCGUGGGUAGCAAACAGG